Molecule: ribosomal RNA, 459 nt
Filed under: uncultured bacterium
Lineage: Bacteria
Description: partial 16S ribosomal RNA
Rfam family: Bacterial small subunit ribosomal RNA
Source: RNAcentral
CCUACGGGAGGCUGCAGUGAGGAAUAUUGGUCAAUGGCCGCAGGGCUGAACCAGCCAAGUCGCGUGAGGGAUGACGGUCCUAUGGAUUGUAAACCUCUUUUGUCAGGGAGCAAAGGGCGCCACGUGUGGCGCUUUGCGAGUACCUGAAGAAAAAGCAUCGGCUAACUCCGUGCCAGCAGCCGCGGUAAUACGGAGGAUGCGAGCGUUAUCCGGAUUUAUUGGGUUUAAAGGGUGCGCAGGCGGAAUGUCAAGUCAGCGGUAAAAUUUCGGGGCUCAACCCCGUCGUGCCGUUGAAACUGGCGUUCUUGAGUGAGCGAGAAGUAUGCGGAAUGCGUGGUGUAGCGGUGAAAUGCAUAGAUAUCACGCAGAACUCCGAUUGCGAAGGCAGCAUACCGGCGCUCAACUGACGCUCAUGCACGAAGGCGUGGGUAUCGAACAGGAUUAGAUACCCCGGUAGUC